CUCAAAAUACAAAAAUAAAAAAGAAUUAAAUAAUCAAAUCAGUGGAACCCAUAAAAAAAAGUAAGCAAAUUUACAAAGUAUAGGGUCCAAAAAGCAAAACAUAGGGACACAAACAGGCAAAUAAAUUAGGAGUGGCAAGAGUAGGGUUAGGUUGGGGGAGAAUUACUGAUUGAAGCAGAAGAGAUGGAACUUGAGAAGAGCCGGAGGGGGAGACUGAGACCUGCUGGAAGUUGUGGGCAUGAGGUGUUUGGCAAGAAAAUGGAUCUUUUCCUUAUGAUGAUUUCUUACCAAUACCUCUCAUGCCAAUGAUUUCCAGCAGUUCCUCCCUUUCCCUUCUUUCUCCACUUUGUCAUCAGAUGCCACCUCUUCGCUUUUCAUGGAGUUUUACAAGAGCCGACUCGAGCUGGCCGGUCAAUUCGGUUUCGGGACUUGAUCCGAGCUGAUUCGGGACUAGAACUAGCAGGUCCUCCUUCCUUUCUCUUAUCCAGCUUCCCCUUCAGCUCUUCAUGUUCUCUCCUCUCUUGUUUUGUCGCUUUCUUUUCCUCCGUGGAUGACGUUUUCCUUGUGACAAGAAUGAACAACGCAUGAGCAUGUCUUACAAUCCAGAACAAGUUAGAGAUGUAGUUCUUUUCUUACAAAUAAAAACCAGAUUUUGUUGGCAACCGAAGUGUUCAGUGCUUCCAUCAAGAAAGGUUGCGUUUCUUGCUUUUGCCAGCUAUGAGUAAUUGAUUGUUGAUGCU
This is a long non-coding RNA of Populus euphratica (Euphrates poplar), 740 nucleotides long. RefSeq lists it as uncharacterized. The transcript has 2 exons. The record is from RefSeq and is a predicted model, not a curated record. NCBI's taxonomy places the organism in Eukaryota, Viridiplantae, Streptophyta, Magnoliopsida, Malpighiales, Salicaceae.